Oreochromis aureus is the source of this 136-nucleotide small nuclear RNA. Its record names the gene U4. It matches the Rfam family "U4 spliceosomal RNA". Rfam says of the family: U4 small nuclear RNA (U4 snRNA) is a component of the major U2-dependent spliceosome. NCBI's taxonomy places the organism in Eukaryota, Metazoa, Chordata, Actinopteri, Cichliformes, Cichlidae. The record is from Ensembl.
AUUCUUGUGCAGAGACAAUUUCAUAGUCUAUGAAGUUCUACUGAGACGUGAUUAUUGCUGGUUGAAAACUUUAACCAAUUCCGCCUGGAUGAUUUGAAACAGUCAGCUAUGGCAAUUUUGCUAGUCUCUCAGGAGA